Small nuclear RNA from Echinops telfairi (small Madagascar hedgehog), 108 nucleotides. Lineage: Eukaryota; Metazoa; Chordata; Mammalia; Afrosoricida; Tenrecidae. The record is from Ensembl.
GUGCUUGCUUUGGCAGCACAUACACUAAAACUGAAACGAUUUAGAGAAAAUUAGAAUGGGCCUCUGUGCAAGAAUGACAUGCAAAUCCAUGAAGUGUUCCAUAUUUCA